AAUACCUAUAUUUUUAUGAUUAUUUGCAGGAGAUGGAUUCUUCUCAGUGCCCUAUCAUCAGUUUUAUAGUCACUAGCUACUUUGCUACACCCAGGGUCAGAGCAAUCGUAUUUGUCUAUAUACUUGUUUGUGCAAGCAUCAGUGAGGUAAAGCAAAGUAUGAAAUGUCAGUAACACCAGUGUUGUAAUUCUACUCUCGUUGCCUCGCAUUCAGAUUUUCCUGAGUUCCAGAUACUGACUAUUUCUUUCUAACUGUGUCAUUGCCUCCCAUACUCAACUUAUUCCAGGCAAUGCCAUUAGGUUAAUGCAAAGGCUGAGCACAGCACUAUGCCAAAAAAAUCACCAAAAUAGGUCUGCGUAAAAAAAACUGUGAUGAAUUUGCAAAGCCUCCUGUAAAUGCCUAAGGACUUCACACUCUAUAAAUAUUUAAAGCAAAUAUCUCCCAAUACAUAAACACACUCAUUUCCUGCUGAUAAACCCAGACACAUCUGCAGGGGUGGAGGGAAGGCAGUUAUCUGCAUUCAGAUGUUGUUUAGCAUAUCUCUAAAUGCAAUGAAACUUUUUUGUGCUAAUUCUUCCUUCUCACUUAUCCAUUUAGUCAUCAUAUAGCAUUUCAAAAAUCCAGGAGAUGUAAUCCAGCUCCUAAUCUGAGCUAAUGGGAACUCUGUCUAAUUAAAAACUCAUCAGUGCAAAAAUGUUUUGUCACAGCAAAAAAAAAAAAAAAAACCCUACAAUACGCAACCCUUAAAAAAAUCCAUCCCAUAGUAUAACUACUUUUAUUUCUUGUGCAUGAUCUGUGCAAUUAGACAGCAAUUUACCUCCAUUAAACAUCACAUACGUGCAAGAAAAGUCUUGUUUACACUAAACAGUUUGGGAAGAUGAAAGGUGUUUUCUAACAUGGGAGUCAGCUCAUCCACUAUGAAAAAGUAACAACUCAGGGGCAAUUAAGUGUCUCCUGUCUACUACAGCUCAGUCUAGUAUUACAUAGCAGCAGAGAAUGAAUAAUAAUAAUAAUAUUAAAAUGUUAUCAAGUACUAUCUAUCAAGGAAAAGCUACACAGGCAGAAUGCCUCUGUGUAAUAAACAGUGCAUCUGGGUCAUAAAGGCCUUCAAACAAUUAGGCCUCAUUUUUCUGUCUCAGAUGUGCAGUGCCUGCUCUCAUUCUGUUUGCCUGCUCCGAUUCAGAUGUAAGUUGGAUUCAGGGAGCAUUCAGCAACUGCUGCCAUUGUGUCUGCGGCAUGUGGGCUCCUCUCAAUGCUCUGCUGAGCAACUGAACCCUGGCUCUGCUCUUCCGACCUAGUGCCAUCUCUGAAAGGACACAAGGACAGCAGAUAUAGAGAUCUACCUCCAGCAUUCUGAAAUCUGGCACUGUCCCAGAGCUCCAGGAGCUGCUUCACUGCUCUCUCCCCAGAUUGCCAGAUGGUGAGUGAAAGCCCAGCGAGCGUGCGGACUGUUGUCUUUGCAGUUUCAUCGUUUAGAUCCACUACAGAACUCAAGUAGUGGUACUGCAUUACUUCAACAGCCUGAAUCACACCAUGAAGCUUGUCUUGUUACAAGAAUCUAUACAUCUCCUUGCAUGCCUAUAGGGUCUUAGAUGUAGAAAUGAAGAGAAUUUAUUUUGUUUCUCUUCGCCCAGGAUGAACCUGAGGAACACAUCUUCCCACCUCUUUCAGUCACCAAACUGAGAUAAAUGGCUCUUUCAUAAGCAGGUGAUGCACUGUGAUGACAUAUGCUCAACUACAAGAAACUGUGAAGUAUGCAUGGUAAAAUAAUUUAUUCAAUGUUUUAUAUGAAGCAGAUUCUAUUCAAACACAGCAAUAUCCUGCCAAUUGUAUGGAGAAGCAGGCAGAGGUAAGCCUAGAAAGGCAUCUUUUUUUUCAGAUCUUUUCAUAAGCUUUCUACAUUUUUGAUUCAAAAGUAACAAUAGGAGUUAGCAAUUACAUACACAGGGCCCACCUCUACUCUGAGCUCAGUGUGGCCAUUCAUACCUAUCCUAAGCAACUGCAGAAGAGCACCUGAAAGAGGCAGAAUGCUGCUCCUGCUUCCUGGAAGUGUACUGGAAAGACACUGCAAAGGAGAUGGAGCCUCACCACGCUCUGCUGUGUUCACCAAGGUGUUUGACCCAUCUGGAGGAGCACUGCCAGUGCAAGGGACUGAGAGAAAGAAAAAAAGAUUGAAGCAUUCUGUUGUUAUAAAGAAACACUUCCGUGUAAUUUUGCUUUAAUGGUAGAGGAAAGCUUGAUGAGAGGAAAAAGGAUUGCAAUAUGCAGACACUGGUGAUAGCAGCAGAGGGAAAAAAUGGAAAUUUUGCUGUGGGUAGACACAAACCAGCAAAUUGGAAUAGAUUUUUUUCUACUCUAAAAGGAGGAGAGCUUCCACACAUACCUGCUAAUUAAUAGGACACCUUUCGCUGACAAUAUCAACAGGAAGUGCAAAUCCUAACCUAGUUUGGUUUCCUUUGUACAAGGUUUUAGUCACUGAGCAAGCAGUAGGUAAGUGUACUGUAGAAAAAGCUAUGAUAAAUUCUAAAUUUUCAUGCCAACACAGCUUCUACCUCCACUUCUUUGCUGACAAAUUCUUGUAGGAUAAUUAAGUAGGAUAAUUAAUGGAAGAGAUUCAGAGUAGAACACACCACAUGAAGGCAGAGAUUCUGCUGCUGCUGUUCCUGAACUUCUCACAGGAAUGCUCCUGCUCUUUUCUGAACAUCUAGGCAAUUAAUAUUAAUUUUCAAUUGUUUGUGUGUGUUUCCCCAGGGUAGGUGGCAGAAGUCAUGAUCAUUUUAACAGCCUAUAUAAAGGGAAGUUCAUGUGCUCCAGUGAGGUGAUGGUUACCUGCCACUAUGCAAACCAAGAAAUUUAGGCUUUAUCAAAGACUGUGGGAAUUCUAGACUUGGCAGCAGUGGGACUGAGCUCUAGUCAAUCUAAAAAAUUUCUUGAUCCUACAAAACAUGCCUGGAAACAUUACUUGAAGGUCACUUGGUGGAAAGGCUGGCUAUAAUCCUCUGGAUAUCAGAAGCAAACCAGCAUGAAGAGGUGAAAAUUCAUUCCUCUGUGUGGCCACCUAGACCAUCUCUUGAACUGCAAAAGUUGAUAACAAUAUUUAAGAAAUGGUAGGUAAGAAACAUAAGAGGGAAAUAUCCAUAUUUCAAAUAGUUGGGUUUUUUCCUUUCUGAUUACUUACAAAGUUGUUCGGAAAAGUCUGAUGUUUCUAUUUUAAAAUAAGCUAGGAGAAAAGGGAAACACAUUUCCUGUGCAUCUUCCUUUGUCUCUGUGUGACUUCAUAACAGAAUUAAUUGUCACUCUGUGCUUUAUCUGGGAAGAGGGAAGGUUUUGAUUUGGAACAACAUUGCAAGGAGCACACAGAAGCAGAAGCAGGCAUGGAUCUUUGGUACUUGGACAGAAAGAUCAGUCACUUUUGGAUCAGAGGUGCUGGCAAACCAUUGAAACAAUCUGUUGAGGCAAAUAAUAAAAGGACUGCACAGUGGAUAUCAGGACUACGUACUGCCUGUAACAUGUUGCCUACUGUUCAAGGUUACAAGCCUAAUGUACACAAAAUAAGGUCAAUCACAGCAGCAUCUGAUGCAUUCAAUGUAUUUUUGGAUGUGUGUGACUUCUCAAUUUCACACCUGCGCAGCAGGGCUUGAUUCCUAUGUUGCAAUUGCUUCUGACUCAGUAGGCAUUACAAAUAAUCAGUGCUCCUUGAUUUCUCCACCUCUCUUCUUGAGGAAUCUGUUACCUACCUUUGGUUUCAUGCCAGAUCAAAAGUAACUAAUUCCAUUUUUAACCCUGAAGCUGUUUAAUAAUUUCUCUCCUCUUCUACCCUUUUCCCUCACUAUGAGAGGGUAAUGACCCAUUUUGAAAGGGUCUGUAACAAAGCCUCUUCACCACACAAUUUACUAGUUUACAGCUAUUCCAAAAGCUCUACUAGAUUCACAGAGAGAAAAUAACCUUUAAAACAGGUCUCAGAAUAGCAAGAGCAGUCAGUCAACUUUGCAGCCAUGCUAAUCACUUUUCCUAAAUUCCGUGCGUUUGGGGUCUGAAAAAGUGUGUCCCUGCUCUGUUUCUUCAGGCAACACAAAAUACACUGAAGGUAUUUCAGUUCUGCCCACACCAUGCUCACAUGCAGACUGCCCAGUACACUGGCACAGCUGAGUGAAAUGCCUCCCUGCAGAACUAUCCCCUCUUCCCCAUGAACAAGUGGGGUGUACUUAAUUAUCCACCUUCACAAUAAAUUCACCACAGGUACCAAAACACACACAGGAUACGAUUACUGUGGCUUACUCUACUCACCUAACUUACAGCUCUGUUGGUUACUAAAGAUGUUAGUUAGUUAGUUGGGCCCAUAAUUGCCAGCCUGCGUGUUGUACAAGAGCUCUGGAAAUGAAGCUCUAUGAGAAGUAACAUACUCCAGGGAAGAUAAAGUUUUGAAUAAAAAUGUUCUCAUAGUCAGAGAAAGAAUAGGUAGAGUAAGCAGAGGUGAGAUCUGGGAUCAAAAAAUCUGAUGAUCCCUCUUGGCUUGCAUUUCUUGGUGCAGACAAGGGUGGAAACACAGCACAGCUUCUCACAGCCUUGUGGGCUACACCUGCUUUGGUUCUCCCUCCAACAGUACAGGGAGCUAAAGCUGAAGGGUAGAAGUCCCUUACAAAUAAGCAGCAGCCACAGUCCCAUGAUACUACCAGGGUAAGCAGGGCCAUACCUCUAACUGGAAUGUGCCUGGCUGCUUCUUAAAACACUGUUCAGGAAUGUUUACCUUGGAAACUGCAAUGCUUCAGCCUGUGCUCUUCAGCAAAGUCCUGGAAGAGUGGUCACUGGGGAAACUGCCAGCUAGCAGGAGCCCUGCCUUGUAGAAGAGGGAGACCAUUAGCACACUGCUAGAGUGGGCAUAAUGGGGUGGGGCUGAUGUGGGGUUAGACAGUGCACUCAUGUAUAACAUACGUAGUCAAAAAAUCCUCUUGUUCUUCACUGAUCCAAACUGCUUGCUCCUAGUGUUCCCAAAGCCAGAGGCACAGAUUGAACAGAUCACUGAGUUUGUGUGAAACCAUUUAUACAAACAGGGUCAAUGGAGUUAUGCACUGUUAUCUUGUGGCUUUCAGAAUGGGGACAUUUAUAGAGAUGCUGCAAACAUUUGUGACUGCUGUACAGAGAACAAAGUGAACGUUGCUGGGGUUAAGUCACAAAAUUCACUUUAUGAGUGACAAAGAGGUGUUUAGCAAGGAUUGUACCUGCCAAAAUUAGUCACAUUUUCCUAUUUCAUCUGAUUUCUGCAUUUCCCUUGCUAAGAAAGAUCAUAGGUAUUUCAAGAAUAGAGGACUAGAUACCUGGGCAAAUACCAUAGCCCUAUUUCCACUCUGACUGUCAUUCACAAUGGAUUUUUUCCAUCACGGCUGUGCUUCAGGUGCUAGCUCGGCUUACAAAGCUUCAGUUCUUUUCAGGUUAUCAGUAAAAGGAGCUCAGUGAAUUGAAGAAUGGCACUAAUAGCAGGAGCCUUGACCGUGUUUGUAGCAGAUGCUAGUUUAUACAUAUCACACCCUCUUUCAAGGUAUUUCAUAAAUUAAUAAAAUGAAAACACUUGAACUAUUGUGAUAUAUAAUAUAAUGGAGACAAAACAUACAAAUAUUUCUCAUAAAACUCCUUAGAAUGGAUUCUAAGUGUCUCAUUUUAUUAACAAGGAUUCCAAUCUACAGCUGACAAACAUUCCAGAGAAAGAGGAAUAAAUUAAUCAAUCCUUCCCUUUUAUAAAGAUCAAAACAAACCACAUUCCUUCAUCUCGUGUUUAGGCAGAAACAAGGGAUAAUUUUUUUGAAGUGGUUACUAAAGGAUAUCCACCUACCCCUGCCAUACGUUUUGCAACUGGAAAGAGCCCAGGUGGCUCAAACAAUGUUUAUCAAUCCUUUUCCUAAGCUGCUAUUGGUGCAUUCGAGCAGAUCAAUUGUAUUCAGUCAAGGUGGUGGUGUUCAUUCUGCAGUACCUCUUUGACCUGCAGGAUAUUUCAUUUUUCUGCAAUGCACCGCAGCUGCUGCAUGGAUAAGACAUGUCCCUUUGGCUUGCCGUUUGUCUGGCAAGCUUAUGUUUCCACAGGCAUGUCAACACCUCCUUGGAUAUUAGCACAACUAUAAAUGUUAGUUUAUGCUAAUAAGUAAGACGUUGAAAAACAAAGGAAAGGUCAGAAACUUGUUUUAUAUUAAGUGUGAUUUCCCAAGACAAAAUAAACCUGAUUCACAGCACAUGCUUACACUUUUCCAAGAGAUAUAUUUAUAGCUGGGAAUAUGUACUUUGGCUAACCCUAUUGUAAGCACCGAGAAGGGAGGGGAGGAGGGUUUUUUUUUUUAACUUUUAAAGUAAAAGGGAGGUUAAUUGGUUCUGCUAGCUGAAGGGCUAUGUGCCAGGCAGCGGGAGCAUGCAUUGCAAUAGAAGAGCUACAGAGACAAAUGAGCUGGUCCACAAGAUGAAAAAAAUCCACCUAAUGCCUUGGGAAAAGGAGGGGAAAAAACCACCAAGGCACAAAUAAAAUAAAAUAAAGUAAAAUGAAAUAAAAUACAAGCAAGAAAUCUCUGUCUGCUUCAGAUACAGUGAUUUUAAACAGAAUCUCAUGCAAAUAAUAAAUAACUCUUUGUUUAGAAGGGUAAAGAACAUAUUUUUUCUGUGCUGUAUUUGCUAGAAGAGGUGGUCAAGUCAAGACUGAAGUACUGCUUGCUCAUUGCCAUCAUAUUUACCCUUUCUGGCCCAGAAACUCUAGAGCCCAAAGUAGCUAAAGGCAUCCCAUCAUUAAAGGUUCUUGUCAUCAUCACAAAGAACAAAUCUCACUUAUUUUGUCCCCUUAAAUCAGGGAUGAAUGAUUUCUGUGAGCCAAGCAGCAGUGUGAGCCAAAAGCAAGCAGGAACAGAUCUCAUAGACCUUGAAGGAAAAUCACUGAAGAAAGGGACAGCUACUCCAUGGCAAUGUUUCACUGACAUUGGCCAUGACAAGCAUGUACAUAAACUUAUCACAAUAUAUUUACAGAAGGAAGGGCAGAUCUUGAUAGAGAAAAGAAGCCCUAUUUAAUUUUCUUGUUUAUCCAACUUUUUUUUUUUUUGCUUAAUUGCAAGGAGCAUAAUUAUCUUUAAUUUUCUUAUUUUUUCAUAUUUUGUGUAGUUCCCUGUCCCUUUGUUCUUUCUUUCUUUUCUCCUUUGGCAGAAACUACAAUUGUCCUUCAACAGAGACCUGCUUUGGAGAAUCUCUUGUACUUACCCAUUACUCUUCACUUAAGGUCGCACAUCCAUUUCCAACACUGAUUGAUGAUAGUACCUGGUAUCAUCCUAAGCUGCACAAAAGCCAAAGAGAGCACCUGCAGUAGCCCAUCCUCAGUAAAAGUGUCAGCUACCACUUACUGCAGUGACAAAACUGCUGUUAAAAUACUAAUAGUUUCUCUCAGGUUUUCAUUUCUAUUCACAGCAUUAUAAAAGCUCAGGAAGUGGUACUAUCUCUGUGGUACAGAUGGAGUUUCAUGAAAACUUGCAGAAGGAAGAGUAUGAGGCAGCACUGGUGUGUGACAGCAAUUUCUUCCAGACCUGGCUGGAGUCAGAAUGCACAGAGAUUCAAAGGUGUUUCGUUCAAUAGGAAUUAAGACCCUGAAUAGCUUUCAGGAUCUGGAAGAAACAAGAUUAAGAUACGGAUGUCUGGAAGAUAUUUUGGUCUGACUCUACACAGACUUAAGUUACUUGGGGUUUUAAGUCCCACUUUCAAACAUGACCUUAAUGUAACUGCUUAGGAUCACACCUUCUUCAUGAUUUUUACAGGAAUGUCCAGUUGGAGGGACAAGAGUUUGCAAUUUGGACCAGACAUAGUCCUUUCCUACUAAUAGAUCCUUUACUUUAUUGGAUGGCACAGUGCAUGAGCUUAAUAUUCUUCCCUGUAAUUGCUAAAAUUGUUAAAAUUUUGCUUUCUGCCCUACAAAGUGUGAAACAGCACAUUUAAAAAUGUUUAUCAUGAAUGCUAAUGGAAGAUUUGGAAAUUCUGCUGUGCAAAUUCCACAGUGAACUGCCGAGGUCAGAGUCUUCUUUUCUUGUGUCUCUUUUCAAAUGUACUAUAUUUCCUUUGGUAAGUCAGCUGUAAAAUUUUACUUAAUAACUAAAAUAAAGUUAUGACAUUGUUUCCACUGGGAUUGAACAGACCUGUAACUAAGAGAAACUCAGAGAAGGAGAUUAGCAAGGAGUUAUUUUUUUUCAUUUCUUAUUAAUAGAACACCAAACCAUGAAGCACUGAAAUUUCCAAAGUGAAAUUACUGUUAUAUUUCACAGGCUGUGAAUGCAUAAGUUUUUCAUGUGUUUGGCACACAUUAAAAUACAUUUUUAUUUUUUUGCAUGUUCAUCUAUUAAAAGGCAAAUUUUAGAAAUUGUCCAUCCGGUCAAGCUCAGUGCAUUGCUAUGUGAGUUUCUAGUUUUUGUAAAAAAGAUGGACACUGUGUAGAUUAGACGCUAUUUUUCUUCAUAGAACAUAUUGGUCAUUAAUAUACAUGGUACUCACACACACAUAAUAUUAAUAAAAAUCAUGACUUAAUAGCCAUGUGCAAAAAAUAUCUUCUGUGGAAUUAAACAGUAACAUUGGAAAUAUUUUGCUUCCAACAUGUCAUUUUUAUUCUUCUGUAAGGGGUAACUGUUGUGAAAAAUUUAAUGUUACUCUCUCCAGUAAAAGGCCAUGCUAACAUUUACUGAAUGACCUAGUUUCCAAAUUUUCUUCUUUCCCCCUCACCUCAAUAAAGACCAUGUGUGGUUGUGUUUAUGUUAACAUAAUCAUUUCUGUUUCUCACUCUUGUUACAAAGCACUGCCAGGAUAUUUAUGGAAAAGCAUGCAAGGUGCACAGUUCUGGUUAGUUUCUUUUAAAUUUUCAAAUUGAAACUGAAGUAGUCUUGUUUCUUUAUGUAUUGCUGGUGAUUUGAGGUCUUUUACAGAGUGACAUGUAGAAUGGAAUAUCAAACAAAAUAGUUCAAUAAGAACUAGACAGGACAGUGGAAAAACACCAUUUUGAUUCUGCCACUUUAAAAAAUGUAUGUGGAGAAAUUAAAAACAUAGAUAUUUUUGAAUGAAGACUUAAAGCAUUUUCCUUUAAAAAAAAUUUCUAAAAGUUCCAAGUAAGAGAUUCACACUUUUUCUUUUGUCUUAGUUCUUUUUAUGGAACAAUUCAGUAAAGCUUAAUGGAAUACACAUCCCUGCAAUUUACAUUUUUCACCAAAAGAAUUGCUUCAGCUAAAAACUGACAUGGCUCUGAACAAAAGAAAUUGAAUACAUUCUACUUUGCCCUUACUAUGAUUUAUUUGCUUCCCUGAAAAGAGAAGCCUUUCUGAGUCUUAUCAUUUGCCCAGGUGAAUUUGGGAUAGUUAAAAUGGAAAUAUUUUGAUAAUAAAUAACAACAACAACAA
This is a long non-coding RNA of Prinia subflava (tawny-flanked prinia), 9392 nucleotides long. RefSeq lists it as uncharacterized. NCBI's taxonomy places the organism in Eukaryota, Metazoa, Chordata, Aves, Passeriformes, Cisticolidae. The record is from RefSeq and is a predicted model, not a curated record. The transcript has 3 exons.